RNAcentral lists this ribosomal RNA (253 nucleotides) under uncultured bacterium. RNAcentral's name for it is "partial 16S ribosomal RNA". It matches the Rfam family "Bacterial small subunit ribosomal RNA", at positions 524 to 776 of the family's 1533-position model. The record is from RNAcentral.
UACGUAGGUGGCAAGCGUUGUCCGGAAUUAUUGGGCGUAAAGCGCGCGCAGGCGGUCUUUUAAGUCUGAUGUGAAAGCCCACGGCUCAACCGUGGAGGGUCAUUGGAAACUGGAGAACUUGAGUACAGAAGAGGAAAGCGGAAUUCCACGUGUAGCGGUGAAAUGCGUAGAGAUGUGGAGGAACACCAGUGGCGAAGGCGGCUUUCUGGUCUGUAACUGACGCUGAGGCGCGAAAGCGUGGGGAGCAAACAGG